ACAAGCAGGCGGGAGCAUGUUGGUUUAAUUCGAAGCAACGCGAAGAACCUUACCUAGACUUGGACAUCCCCUGCAUAACCCAGAGAUGGGCGAAGUCCUUCGGGACAGGGUGACAGGUGGUGCAUGGUUGUCGUCAGCUCGUGUCGUGAGAUGUUGGGUUAAGUCCCGCAACGAGCGCAACCCUUAUCAUUAGUUGCUACCAUUAAGUUGAGCACUCUACUGAGACUGCCCGGGUUAACCGGGAGGAAGGUGGGGAUGACGUCAAAUCAUCAUGCCCCUUAUGUCUAGGGCUACACACGUGCUACAAUGGUGAGUACAAAGAGAUGCAAGACCGCAAGGUGGAGCCAAACUCAAAAACUCAUCCCAGUUCGGAUUGUAGGCUGCAACUCGCCUACAUGAAGCCGGAGUUGCUAGUAAUCGCGAAUCAGCAUGUCGCGGUGAAUACGUUCCCGGGCCUUGUACACACCGCCCGUCACACCAUGAGAGUUGGUAACACCCGAAGUCCGUGAGGCAACCGUAAGGAGCCAGCGGCCGAAGGUGGGAUUGAUGAUUGGGGUGAAGUCGUAACAAGGUA
This 574-nucleotide ribosomal RNA is filed under the name uncultured bacterium. RNAcentral describes it as "bacterial SSU rRNA". It matches the Rfam family "Bacterial small subunit ribosomal RNA", at positions 925 to 1498 of the family's 1533-position model. The record is from RNAcentral.